AGAUCCUGCCAGCCCCAGGCACCAAGGGAGCGUCUUCACCCCGGCUGAGAAAUUCAGAAUCCUCUCAAUGGGAGGCUCCACAUUUUCCUUUGAGAAAACAAAUUUUGCAAAGAUUCUUCAGAAUCCCGCGUCUCCCAACGACUGGAGCUUUGUCUUGCCCAGCUGGGUAUGUUCCAAGCCACUCUGUGUACAGACAUGGACGAAUAUGAUAGCAUUUUAUUGGGAGAAAAGACUCUUGUUCAGCUGACCUGCAAAACAGCUAAUAGGAGCAGGUCUGCUUUUUGUCACAACACUCCUGCAAAGACGGGAUGACAGUGAGACCACAUGACCUUAUCUGCAGCUGCCGUCUUGAGGCGCUUUAUGGUUUCUCUUGAGAACAGUCCAGCGUUGUGAGUAGGACCUCUCUUUAUGGUUUCUCUUGAGAAUAGUCCAGCGUUGUGAGUAGGACCUCUCUGUUCCCUGAAUGUCACUCUCUGUGACCCUAUCCAGCUCCUUCCUUGUGAGCCGUGAGAGCCACCUGCUUAUCAGUUCUCGCCACUGGGAAAUGUGCAUUUUCCUCUUGGUGGAGGUGUACUUCACAAGGCCCCCCGGUGUGUUCUCAGCUUCCUCAGACAGCUGGCUGUAUUUGGAAGACCCAGGGUUUCUUCCACGAGGAUUGAUGUGAUCCCUGCAGGUCAAACACAUUGGUGGAAGGCCAGAAAGCACACGGUCCUUCAUUCUCCAAACCUGGGUCCACGCCAAGGAGGAGGACACAGGGCAGUCAGUGUCAGUGUACAAGAGGUUAUCAGACUUGUUCUGGAACAGUGCUUGGGAAGUUAUGAGUUGCUGGCAGGAUUUGCAGCCCACAUACUCAGGUAUGCAAGAAAUAAAAUUAUCUCUAGCCCUUCAAAUCACACCAUUCUGACUCAGAACCCCUGCCCCCAACAAAAUACAUGUGAAACACCAUCCUGGCAUUACUGGGGGGGGGGGGUCUCCCCUCACAGCUUCUUGGAGAGCUUGUAGGGGGAAGGGGCAGCUGAGGCAGGGGUGGCUAACCUCUGUUAUUCCUAAGCUCAGCGUUUGGAUCUCCAAACUCCUCACACACAGCUCUCCGAUCCCACACUUUCCUGGGUAACCCCUGCUGGGCUUUGCCAGCCUUUCAACUGAGGCCAGCACUUCCCUUCGCCCUCCUGGCCAGCCUGGGACAGAGUCUCCACUGCUCUUCUCUCAUCUCCCCAGCACUGAAUGCAACAUCUGACCUGCUUAGGCCUUGGGCAAGCAAAAUUAGUUUUGCCAAAUGUCAAAGCAGCAUGUAACACUGGGCCUUCAGUCAAGGCCUUAUGUUACCAUGGAUGAACAGAAGAAAAGAAAAGAAAGGAUAGAUGGAUUCAUCUCUCUGCUAAUCACAUGACAGGAGGAAGACAGCUCUGUCAACGGCAACCACGCUUGCAUAUGGUCAUGUCCUGCUGCCCAAGGACCCCCAGUCUCCAAAUCCCAAGGGAACGACUCUGCUUGGGUCAACUGUCCUCCUUGACGCUCCCAUUGGUAACUGCUCUCCGCCCUUUGGCACAACAGUAAAGCAGGUACUUGGAACACUGCAGGAUCAGCAACGGAAGUAAGAUGCAAGUCUCCUGUUGAAGUCCCAUCUCCCAAAAAAUGUAUAUAAAGAAAAGAAGAAAGCUAGAAGACCGGCAACCAUGAAGGUAUUUACCAUUUUUGCACGUGACCCAAAGGUGAUGACAACUCUGUCCUCCUCAGAGGGACACAGCUAUGGUCUAGGCUGUGGAUGGUAGCAGGCUGGUGCCAUGGUCAUGAUGGGGUUUGGGAGAGACACUGGCCCAGACUGACCAAGAAGUCAUAGAGAGAUGAUUUCUGGAGGUCCAGGAAAAGUUGUCCUCAUUCUUAAGGAGUCACAUGAAGGGAUGGUCCCUUUGUGUUUCUGGACACUGGAUGUUAAAGGUCUGGGUUUAAUAUCCAGAAUUCUGGGAGCCAACUUGCAACAACAAGGGGAACCAACUGGGGGCAAUUCCAGCCCACAGAACAUGGCAGAGCAGAGGCAGGAAAGAACAUGCGUCCUUGACACCAUUGCUAGCUGUUGAGUCAACCAACCUGGAUCCUUGUUAGACCUCAGCUCACUCUUAUUUGAUGUAAGAAACUCUUAAGUUGGCUGUGUCUGUAAGACAAGUCUUCUCUUGCCUAUAGUGUAGCCAUCCUAGAUGAUACAAAUGAAAUUUGAAAAGCAGAGAUUUCAUGGAAAAGUCUGUUCCUGUCCAUUUUCAUUGGACACCUUUAAAUUCAUUCUGUGUUAAAUCAUUUUUUAAUAUGAUUGUCUGUUUUGUGUGUGUUGAGUUUGAGGAGUUCUUUAUAGAUCCUGGAUAUCAACCUUUUGUCUGUACUGUCAUUUGCAAAUAUCUUCUCCCAUUUUGUGGGUUGCCUCUUUGUUUUCUUGACUGUUUCCUUUGCUGUGCAGAAGCUUUUGAUCUUGAUGAAGUCCCAAAAGUUCAUCUUCACUUUUGUUUCCUUUGCCUCUGGAGACAUAUCUUAAAAGAAGUUGCUGUGGCUGAUAUCGAGGAGGUUACUGCCCAUGUUCUCCUCUAGGAUUCUGAUGGAUUCCUGUCUCACAUUGAGGUCUUUUAUCCAUUUUGAGUUCAUCUUUGUGUACAGUGUAAGAGAAUGGUCGAGUUUCAUUCUGCUACAUAUAGCUGCCCAGUUUUCCCAGCACCAUUUAUUUAAGAGACUUUUUUCCACUGUAUAUUUUUUCCUGUUUUGUCAAAGAUUGUUUGCCCAUAGAGUUGAGGGUCCAUAUCUGGGCUCUCUACUCUGUUCCACUGGUCUAUGUGUCUGUUUUUAUGCCAGUACCAUGCUGUCUUGGUGACCACAGCUUUGUAGUAAAGCUUGAAAUCAGGUAACGUGAUGCCCGCAGUUUUAUUUAUUUAUUUAUUUUUAAGAUUUUAUUUAUUUGACAGAGAGAGAGGGAAUACAAUCAGGAGAGUGGUAGAGGGAGAAGCAGGCUCCCCGCUGAGCUGGGAGCCCAAUGUGGGGCUUGAUCCCAGGACCCUGGGAUCAUGACCUGAGCUGAAGGCAGUCGCUUAACAAACUGAGCCUCCCAGGUGCCCCUUUAUUUUUGUUUUUCAACAUUUCCUUAGAGAUUCAGGGUCUCUUCUGAUUCCAUACACAUUUUUGGAUUAUUUGCUCCAGCUCUUUGAAAAAUACUGGUGGAAUUUUGAUAGGAAUGGCAUUAAAAGUAUAGAUUGCUCUAGGCAGUUUAGACAUUUUUAACAAUGUUUAUUCUUCCGAUCCAAGAGCAUGGGAUGGUCUUCCAUCUUUUUGUGUCUUCUUCAAUUUCUUUCAUGAGUGUUCUGUAGUUCCUCGAGUACAGUUCCUUUACUUCUUUGGUUAGGUUUAUUCCAGGGUAUCUUAUGGUUCUUGGUUCUAUAGUAAAUGGAAUCGAUUCUCUAAUUUCCCUUUCUGUAUUUUCAUUGUUAGUGUAUAAGAAAGCCACUGAUUUCUGUACAUUGACUUUGUAUCCUGCCACAUUGCUGAACAGACACUUCUCCAAUGAAGACAUACAAAUGGCUAUCAGACAUGUUCAUCAUGAUGAUGAAAAAAUGUUCAUCAUCACUAGCCAUCAGGGAGAUUCAAAUUGAGAUAUCACAUUGAGAUAUCACCUUACACCAGUUAGAAUGACCAAAAUUAACAAGACAGGAAACAACAUGUGUUGGAGAUGAUGUGGAGAAAGGGGAACCCUCUUCCACUGUUAGUGGGAAUGCAAGUUGGUGAGCCACUUUGGAAAACAGUGUGGAGAUUCCUCAAGAAAUUAAAAAUAGAGCUUCCCUAUGACCCUGCAAUUUCACUACUGGGUAUUUACCCCAAAGGUACAGAUGUAGUGAAAAGAAGGGCCAUCUGUACCCCAAUGUUUAUAGCAGCAAUGGCCACAGUCACCAAACUAUGGAAAGAACCAAAAUGCCGUUCAACAGACGAAUGGAUAAGGAAGAUGUGGUCCAUAUACACUAUGGAGUAUUAUGCCUCCAUCAGAAAGGAUGAAUACCCAACUUUUGUAGCAACAUGGACAGGACUGGAAGAGAUGAUGCUGUGUGAAAUAAGUCAAGCAGAGAGAGUCAAUUAUCAUAUGGUUUCACUUAUUUGUAGAGCAUAACAAAUAGCAUGGAGGACAUGGGGAGUUAGAGAGGGUAAGGGAGUUGGGGGAAAUUGGAAGUGGA
Molecule: long non-coding RNA, 4199 nt
Organism: Mustela lutreola (European mink)
Lineage: Eukaryota; Metazoa; Chordata; Mammalia; Carnivora; Mustelidae
Exons: 8
Source: RefSeq, a predicted model, not a curated record